AUACGGAGGGUGCAAGCGUUGCUCGGAAUCACUGGGCGUAAAGCGUACGCAGGCGGUUUACUAAGUCGGGUGUGAAAGCCCAGGGCUCAACCCUGGAACUGCAUUCGAAACUGGUAGACUUGAGUACGGGAGAGGGGAGCGGAAUUCCUGGUGUAGAGGUGAAAUUCGUAGAUAUCAGGAGGAACACCCGUGGCGAAAGCGGCUCUCCGGCCCGAUACUGACGCUCAUGUACGAAAGCGUGGGUAGCAAACAGGAUUAGAUACCCCUGUAGUCC
RNAcentral lists this ribosomal RNA (274 nucleotides) under uncultured bacterium. Its description in RNAcentral is "partial 16S ribosomal RNA". It matches the Rfam family "Bacterial small subunit ribosomal RNA", at positions 523 to 796 of the family's 1533-position model. The record is from RNAcentral.